CGGCGUGCUUAACACAUGCAAGUCGAACGAAGCACUUAAUGAGAUUUCUUCGGAUUGAUUAUUUUGUGACUGAGUGGCGGACGGGUGAGUAACGCGUGAGUAACCUGCCGUUCAGAGGGGGACAACAGUUGGAAACGACUGCUAAUACCGCAUAAUGUAUAUAGGAGGCAUCUUCUGUAUACCAAAGGAGCAAUCCGCUAUGAGAUGGGCCCGCGGCGCAUUAGCUAGUUGGUGAGGUAACGGCUCACCAAGGCGACGAUGCGUAGCCGACCUGAGAGGGUGAUCGGCCACAUUGGGACUGAGACACGGCCCAGACUCCUACGGGAGGCAGCAGUGGGGAAUAUUGCACAAUGGGGGAAACCCUGAUGCAGCAACGCCGCGUGAGUGAUGACGGCCUUCGGGUUGUAAAGCUCUGUCUUCAGGGACGAUAAUGACGGUACCUGAGGAGGAAGCCACGGCUAACUACGUG
This 469-nucleotide ribosomal RNA is filed under the name uncultured bacterium. Its description in RNAcentral is "bacterial SSU rRNA". It matches the Rfam family "Bacterial small subunit ribosomal RNA", at positions 40 to 507 of the family's 1533-position model. The record is from RNAcentral.